This is a small nuclear RNA of Fukomys damarensis (Damara mole-rat), 87 nucleotides long. The record is from Ensembl. NCBI's taxonomy places the organism in Eukaryota, Metazoa, Chordata, Mammalia, Rodentia, Bathyergidae.
GAGACUAAAACUGGAAAAAUACAGAGAAGAUUAACAUGGCCCCUAACCAAGAAAGACAUGCAAAUUCACAAAGCAUUCUAUAAUUUU